AAAGAGUUUGGAGAAGAAGGUUGACGAGUUAGUUUGUAGUUAUUUCAUCCGAGUCAAUUAUCACUAUCAGGUACAACACUUUGUGUACAGUUAUACUUGUGACAUUAGUUUGUAGUUUGUAGCAUUAUAUUUGUGACACCCAUAUCUGAGAAGUCUGUAUAUCUUUUAUUCUUCCAUUAGAAGGGAAGCCAGAAAUGACAUUUUGUAUUGAGCUGGAAAUGUUGAAGCCUGG
RNAcentral lists this unclassified non-coding RNA (232 nucleotides) under Hevea brasiliensis (rubber tree). The record is from RNAcentral. Lineage: Eukaryota; Viridiplantae; Streptophyta; Magnoliopsida; Malpighiales; Euphorbiaceae.